RNAcentral lists this ribosomal RNA (653 nucleotides) under uncultured bacterium. RNAcentral's name for it is "bacterial SSU rRNA". It matches the Rfam family "Bacterial small subunit ribosomal RNA", at positions 202 to 842 of the family's 1533-position model. The record is from RNAcentral.
GAAAGGCGCUUUUGCGUCACUGAUGGAUGGACCCGCGGUGCAUUAGCUAGUUGGUGAGGUAACGGCUCACCAAGGCCACGAUGCAUAGCCGACCUGAGAGGGUGAUCGGCCACACUGGGACUGAGACACGGCCCAGACUCCUACGGGAGGCAGCAGUAGGGAAUCUUCGGCAAUGGACGAAAGUCUGACCGAGCAACGCCGCGUGAGUGAAGAAGGUUUUCGGAUCGUAAAACUCUGUUGUUAGAGGAGAAUAAGGAUGAGAGUAGAACGUUCAUCCCUUGACGGUAUCUAACCAGAAAGCCACGGCUAACUACGUGCCAGCAGCCGCGGUAAUACGUAGGUGGCAAGCGUUGUCCGGAUUUAUUGGGCGUAAAGCGAGCGCAGGCGGUUUCUUAAGUCUGAUGUGAAAGCCCCCGGCUCAACCGGGGAGGGUCAUUGGAAACUGGGAGACUUGAGUGCAGAAGAGGAGAGUGGAAUUCCAUGUGUAGCGGUGAAAUGCGUAGAUAUAUGGAGGAACACCAGUGGCGAAGGCGGCUCUCUGGUCUGUAACUGACGCUGAGGCUCGAAAGCGUGGGGAGCGAACAGGAUUAGAUACCCUGGUAGUCCACGCCGUAAACGAUGAGUGCUAAGUGUUGGAGGGUUUCCGCCCUUCA